RNAcentral lists this ribosomal RNA (471 nucleotides) under uncultured bacterium. Its description in RNAcentral is "partial 16S ribosomal RNA". It matches the Rfam family "Bacterial small subunit ribosomal RNA", at positions 28 to 507 of the family's 1533-position model. The record is from RNAcentral.
GACGAACGCUGGCGGCGUGCUUAACACAUGCAAGUCGAACGAUGAAGCCUAGCUUGCUAGGUGGAUUAGUGGCGAACGGGUGAGUAAUACGUGAGUAACCUACCUUUAACUCUGGGAUAAGCCCGGGAAACUGGGUCUAAUACCGGAUACGACCAAUCUCCGCAUGGGGUGUUGGUGGAAAGCGUUAUGUAGUGGUUAUAGAUGGGCUCACGGCCUAUCAGCUUGUUGGUGAGGUAACGGCUCACCAAGGCGACGACGGGUAGCCGGCCUGAGAGGGUGACCGGCCACACUGGGACUGAGACACGGCCCAGACUCCUACGGGAGGCAGCAGUGGGGAAUAUUGCACAAUGGGCGCUAGCCUGAUGCAGCGACGCCGCGUGAGGGAUGACGGCCUUCGGGUUGUAAACCUCUGUUAGCAGGGAAGAAGAGAGAUUGACGGUACCUGCAGAGAAAGCGCCGGCUAACUACGUG